CCCUUAGAUGUUCUGGGCCGCACGCGCGCUACACUGACGGAGUCAACGAGUUGUCCUGCAUCGGAAGGUGUGGGUAAUCUUUUGAAACUUCGUCGUGCUGGGGAUAGAUCUUUGCAAUUUUCGAUCUUGAACGAGGAAUUCCUAGUAAGCGUGAUUCAUCAGAUCGCGUUGAUUACGUCCCUGCCCUUUGUACACACCGUCCGUCGCUACUACCGAUUGAAUGGUUUAGUGAGGCCUCGGGACUGGCGCGCUCGAGUAGCAAUACACCUGCGCGCCGGGAACUUGGUCAAACUUGAUCAUUUAGAGGAAGUAAAAGUCGUAACA
This 324-nucleotide ribosomal RNA is filed under the name uncultured eukaryote. Its description in RNAcentral is "partial 18S ribosomal RNA". It matches the Rfam family "Eukaryotic small subunit ribosomal RNA", at positions 1470 to 1796 of the family's 1831-position model. The record is from RNAcentral.